Molecule: ribosomal RNA, 1233 nt
Filed under: Triticum aestivum (bread wheat)
Lineage: Eukaryota; Viridiplantae; Streptophyta; Magnoliopsida; Poales; Poaceae
Description: partial small subunit ribosomal RNA
Source: RNAcentral
AUGCAGCGGCAAGAGGAGUCCGGCGAGGACAUCGUGAUCGUGGGCGCCGGGCUCGCCGGCCUCGCCGCCGCGCUCGGGCUGCACAGAAAAGGGGUGAGGAGCCUGGUGCUGGAGUCGUCCCCGGCGCUCCGGGCCUCGGGGUUCGCCUUCGCCACGUGGCCCAACGCCUUCCGCGCGCUCGACGCCCUUGGCGUCGGCGACGAGAUCAGGAAGCUCCACCUGCACAUCGAGGGGCUGCGCGUCAUGUCGGCGUCCACGGGUGAGAUAGCAAAGAAGGUGGAUUUCAGGGACGAGUUCCGCUGCGUCAGGCGCGACGUGCUGCUGCAGGUCCUGGCGGCGGAGCUGCCGACGGGCACCAUCCGCUACUCCUCCAGGAUCGUCUCCAUCGACGACGGCGACGACGACGGCGCCAAGAUCCUCCACCUCGCCGACGGCUCGACUCUCCGGGCAAGGGUGCUGGUCGGAUGCGACGGGAUCAACUCCGUGGUGGCCAGAUGGCUGGGGCUCGCCAAGCCGUCGCACUCCGGGCGCUCCGCCACGCGGGGCCUCGCGCGUUACCCCGACGGCCACGGCUUCCCGCCCAAGUUCCUGCAGCUCUUUGGCAACGGCUUCCGCUUCGGCUUCGUCCCCUGCAACGACACCGACGUCUACUGGUUCUACACAUGGUCUCCCUCCCAAGACGAUGAUGGUGUCGCUGAGAGCGGCGCCAAGAUGAAGCAGUACGUGCUGACGAAACUGAGGAGCUCCAAGGUGCCCGCGGAGGCGCUGGAAUUGGUGGAGAGGAGCGAGCUGAGCGACGACGCGCCCGCCGCACCGCUGCGGUUCCGGCCGCCGCUCUCGCUCCUGUUCGCGGGCAUCAGCAAGGGGAACGUGUGCGUCGCCGGCGACGCGCUGCACCCGAUGACGCCGGACCUUGGCCAGGGCGGCUGCGCGGCGCUGGAGGACGGCGUCGUCCUGGCCAGAUGCCUCGGCGAGGCCAUCCUCGGUGGCGAUGGCGACGGAGCGACAGGCGGGACUGAUGAGAAGGAGAGGAUCGAGUUGGGCCUGCGCAGGUUUGCCGGGAUACGGCGGUGGAGGAGCAUCGAGCUCAUCGGAACGGCCUACGUUGUCGGCUUCUUGCAGCAGAGUGGUAAUAGGAUCAUCAGCUUUCUGCGGGAGAAGGUGCUGGCCGGAGUGCUCGCGGGAAGGCUCGUUAAGAUGUCGGACUACAACUGCGGGACGCUGUCGAGCUAG